Molecule: ribosomal RNA, 465 nt
Filed under: uncultured Klebsiella sp.
Lineage: Bacteria; Pseudomonadati; Pseudomonadota; Gammaproteobacteria; Enterobacterales; Enterobacteriaceae
Description: bacterial SSU rRNA
Rfam family: Bacterial small subunit ribosomal RNA
Source: RNAcentral
CCUACGGGGGGCUGUAGUGGGGAAUAUUGCACAAUGGGCGCAAGCCUGAUGCAGCCAUGCCGCGUGUGUGAAGAAGGCCUUCGGGUUGUAAAGCACUUUCAGCGGGGAGGAAGGCGGUGAGGUUAAUAACCUCAUCGAUUGACGUUACCCGCAGAAGAAGCACCGGCUAACUCCGUGCCAGCAGCCGCGGUAAUACGGAGGGUGCAAGCGUUAAUCGGAAUUACUGGGCGUAAAGCGCACGCAGGCGGUCUGUCAAGUCGGAUGUGAAAUCCCCGGGCUCAACCUGGGAACUGCAUUCGAAACUGGCAGACUAGAGUCUUGUAGAGGGGGGUAGAAUUCCAGGUGUAGCGGUGAAAUGCGUAGAGAUCUGGAGGAAUACCGGUGGCGAAGGCGGCCCCCUGGACAAAGACUGACGCUCAGGUGCGAAAGCGUGGGGAGCAAACAGGAUUAGAUACCCCAGUAGUC